AACAGGAAGCAGCUUGCUGCUUCGCUGACGAGUGGCGGACGGGUGAGUAAUGUCUGGGAAACUGCCUGAUGGAGGGGGAUAACUACUGGAAACGGUGGCUAAUACCGCAUAACGUCGCAAGACCAAAGAGGGGGACCUUCGGGCCUCUUGCCAUCAGAUGUGCCCAGAUGGGAUUAGCUUGUUGGUGAGGUAACGGCUCACCAAGGCGACGAUCCCUAGCUGGUCUGAGAGGAUGACCAGCCACACUGGAACUGAGACACGGUCCAGACUCCUACGGGAGGCAGCAGUGGGGAAUAUUGCACAAUGGGCGCAAGCCUGAUGCAGCCAUGCCGCGUGUAUGAAGAAGGCCUUCGGGUUGUAAAGUACUUUCAGCGGGGAGGAAGGUGUUGUGGUUAAUAACCGCAGCAAUUGACGUUACCCGCAGAAGAAGCACCGGCUAACUCCGUGCCAGCAGCCGCGGUAAUACGGAGGGUGCAAGCGUUAAUCGGAAUUACUGGGCGUAAAGCGCACGCAGGCGGUCUGUCAAGUCGGAUGUGAAAUCCCCGGGCUCAACCUGGGAACUGCAUUCGAAACUGGCAGGCUUGAGUCUUGUAGAGGGGGGUAGAAUUCCAGGUGUAGCGGUGAAAUGCGUAGAGAUCUGGAGGAAUACCGGUGGCGAAGGCGGCCCCCUGGACAAAGACUGACGCUCAGGUGCGAAAGCGUGGGGAGCAAACAGGAUUAGAUACCCUGGUAGUCCACGCCGUAAACGAUGUCUACUUGGAGGUUGUGCCCUUGAGGCGUGGCUUCCGGAGCUAACGCGUUAAGUAGACCGCCUGGGGAGUACGGCCGCAAGGUUAAAACUCAAAUGAAUUGACGGGGGCCCGCACAAGCGGUGGAGCAUGUGGUUUAAUUCGAUGCAACGCGAAGAACCUUACCUGGUCUUGACAUCCACAGAACUUUCCAGAGAUGGAUUGGUGCCUUCGGGAACUGUGAGACAGGUGCUGCAUGGCUGUCGUCAGCUCGUGUUGUGAAAUGUUGGGUUAAGUCCCGCAACGAGCGCAACCCUUAUCCUUUGUUGCCAGCGAUUAGG
RNAcentral lists this ribosomal RNA (1069 nucleotides) under Salmonella enterica. RNAcentral's name for it is "bacterial SSU rRNA". It matches the Rfam family "Bacterial small subunit ribosomal RNA", at positions 65 to 1129 of the family's 1533-position model. The record is from RNAcentral. Lineage: Bacteria; Pseudomonadati; Pseudomonadota; Gammaproteobacteria; Enterobacterales; Enterobacteriaceae.